UACGAAGGGGGCUAGCGUUGCUCGGAAUCACUGGGCGUAAAGCGCACGUAGGCGGCUUUUUAAGUCAGGGGUGAAAUCCUGGAGCUCAACUCCAGAACUGCCUUUGAUACUGGGGAUCUCGAGUCCGGAAGAGGUGAGUGGAACUCCGAGUGUAGAGGUGAAAUUCGUAGAUAUUCGGAAGAACACCAGUGGCGAAGGCGGCUCACUGGUCCGGUACUGACGCUGAGGUGCGAAAGCGUGGGGAGCAAACAGG
Molecule: ribosomal RNA, 253 nt
Filed under: uncultured bacterium
Lineage: Bacteria
Description: partial 16S ribosomal RNA
Rfam family: Bacterial small subunit ribosomal RNA
Source: RNAcentral